AGGGUGUAAACGCUGCAGACUUGGUGUUGGGGACCCUACGGGGGUGUUCAGUGCCGGAGAGAAGUUGUUAAGUCUGCUACUUGGGAGUACGUCCGCAAGGAUGAAACUUAAAGGAAUUGGCGGGGGAGGCACCGCAACGGGAGGAGCGUGCGGUUUAAUUGGAUUCAACACCGGAAACUCACCAGCGGCGACUGUUACAUGAAAGUCAGGCCGAUGACCUUACUAGAUUUCAGAGAGGAGGUGCAUGGCGUCAGUGACU
Molecule: ribosomal RNA, 259 nt
Filed under: uncultured archaeon
Lineage: Archaea
Description: partial 16S ribosomal RNA
Rfam family: Archaeal small subunit ribosomal RNA
Source: RNAcentral